This 497-nucleotide ribosomal RNA is filed under the name uncultured bacterium. RNAcentral describes it as "partial 16S ribosomal RNA". It matches the Rfam family "Bacterial small subunit ribosomal RNA", at positions 28 to 507 of the family's 1533-position model. The record is from RNAcentral.
GACGAACGCUGGCGGCGUGCCUAAUACAUGCAAGUAGAACGCUGAAGAGAGGAGCUUGCUCUUCUUGGAUGAGUUGCGAACGGGUGAGUAACGCGUAGGUAACCUGCCUUGUAGCGGGGGAUAACUAUUGGAAACGAUAGCUAAUACCGCAUAACAAUGGAUGACACAUGUCAUUUAUUUGAAAGGGGCAAUUGCUCCACUACAAGAUGGACCUGCGUUGUAUUAGCUAGUAGGUGAGGUAAUGGCUCACCUAGGCGACGAUACAUAGCCGACCUGAGAGGGUGAUCGGCCACACUGGGACUGAGACACGGCCCAGGCUCCUACGGGAGGCAGCAGUAGGGAAUCUUCGGCAAUGGGGGCAACCCUGACCGAGCAACGCCGCGUGAGUGAAGAAGGGUUUCGGAUCGUAAAGCUCUGUUGUAAGUCAAGAACGGGUGUGAGAGUGGAAAGUUCACACUGUGACGGUAGCUUACCAGAAAGGGACGGCUAACUACGUG